This 269-nucleotide small RNA is filed under the name Sorex araneus (European shrew). RNAcentral describes it as "7SK RNA (ENSSARG00000019208.1)". Lineage: Eukaryota; Metazoa; Chordata; Mammalia; Eulipotyphla; Soricidae. The record is from RNAcentral.
AGCUGUGAGGCUGCUCUGGCCAGGCUAGCUGUGCCUGCUCCUCCCUCACUACUCCCUGAACGUCUCUUUGGAAGCUGCAUGUUUAAAGUGAAUGAACUUUCCCAAAGAGACACUGACCCACUCGUUACUUGAGGUGGCUAAGGGUAGAGUAUUAACUGCACUCUGCUAGAACCCCCAUAUAAGCUUUCAAGGUCCAAUACUAACAUCAGCUCUUCGAAGGACACCCCCAAGGGCAAUCACCCACGGAGUUCCUAUAAUAUAGUAUCAUA